Molecule: ribosomal RNA, 748 nt
Filed under: cyanobacterium enrichment culture clone 4_16_4.3.1_D10-T7
Lineage: Bacteria; Bacillati; Cyanobacteriota
Description: bacterial SSU rRNA
Rfam family: Bacterial small subunit ribosomal RNA
Source: RNAcentral
UAGAGUUUGAUCCUGGCUCAGGAUGAACGCUGGCGGUCUGCUUAACACAUGCAAGUCGAACGGGACUCUUCGGAGUUUAGUGGCGGACGGGUGAGUAACGCGUGAGAAUCUGCCCUUAGGUUGGGGACAACAGUUGGAAACGACUGCUAAUACCCAAUGUGCCGAGAGGUGAAAGGUUAACUGCCUGGGGAUGAGCUCGCGUCUGAUUAGCUAGUUGGAGUGGUAACGGCACACCAAGGCGACGAUCGGUAGCUGGUCUGAGAGGAUGAUCAGCCACACUGGGACUGAGACACGGCCCAGACUCCUACGGGAGGCAGCAGUGGGGAAUUUUCCGCAAUGGGCGAAAGCCUGACGGAGCAAGACCGCGUGAGGGAGGAAGGCCUAUUGGUUGUAAACCUCUUUUGAUAGGGAAGAACACAAUGACGGUACCUAUCGAAUCAGCAUCGGCUAACUCCGUGCCAGCAGCCGCGGUAAUACGGAGGAUGCAAGCGUUAUCCGGAUUUAUUGGGCGUAAAGCGUCCGUAGGUGGCAAACCAAGUCAGUUGUUAAAGCGUAGAGCUUAACUCUAUAAGGGCAAUUGAAACUGGUUAGCUAGAGUGCGAUAGGGGCAAGGGGAAUUCCCAGUGUAGCGGUGAAAUGCGUAGAUAUUGGGAAGAACAUCGGUGGCGAAGGCGCCUUGCUGGGUCUGCACUGACACUGAGGGACGAAAGCUAGGGGAGCGAAAGGGAUUAGAUACCCCUGUAGUCCU